GACGAACGCUGGCGGCGUGCUUAACACAUGCAAGUCGAACGGAGAGGCCCUGCUUUUGUGGGGUGCUCGAGUGGCGAACGGGUGAGUAACACGUGAGUAUCCUGCUCUUGAUUUUGGGAUAACUUCAGGAAACUGGGGCUACUACCGUAUAGCAUCUCCUGCUGCAUGGUGGGCGUUGGAACUUCUCGGCGGUUGGGGAUGGAUUCGCGGCUUAUGAGUUUGUUGGUUGGGUAGUGGCUUACCAAGGCUUUGACGGGUAGCCGGCAUGAGAGGGUGAACGGCCACAAGGGGACUGAGGGACGGACCAGACUCGUACGGGAGACAACAGGGGGAAAUAUUACACAGUGAGCGGGAGCCUGAUAAGAAAACGCCGCGUGCGGAAAGACGGCCUUCGGGGUGUAAACCGCUUUCGCCUGAGACGAAGCGGGAGUGACGGUAAUGGGUAAAGAAGCACCGGCUAACUACGUG
Molecule: ribosomal RNA, 468 nt
Filed under: uncultured bacterium
Lineage: Bacteria
Description: partial 16S ribosomal RNA
Rfam family: Bacterial small subunit ribosomal RNA
Source: RNAcentral